Molecule: ribosomal RNA, 465 nt
Filed under: uncultured bacterium
Lineage: Bacteria
Description: partial 16S ribosomal RNA
Rfam family: Bacterial small subunit ribosomal RNA
Source: RNAcentral
CCUACGGGAGGCAGCAGUAGGGAAUUUUCGUCAAUGGGCGCAAGCCUGAACGAGCGAUGCCGCGUGAGUGAAGAAGGCCUUCGGGUCGUAAAGCUCUGUUGCGGGGGAAAAAAGGCAGCAUCAGGAAAUGGGUGCUGACUGAUGGUGCCCCGCCAGAAAGUCACGGCUAACUACGUGCCAGCAGCCGCGGUAAUACGUAGGGGGCGAGCGUUAUCCGGAAGGAUUGGGCGUAAAGGUUGCGCAGGCGGUCCUGCAAGUCUGGAGUGAAACGCAUGAGCUCAACUCAUGCAUGGCUUUGGAAACUGGAGGACUGGAGAGCAGGAGAGGGCGGUGGAACUCCAUGUGUAGCGGUAAAAUGCGUAGAUAUAUGGAAGAACACCAGUGGCGAAGGCGGCCGCCUGGCCUGUUGCUGACGCUGAGGCACGAAAGCGUGGGGAGCAAAUAGGAUUAGAUACCCCAGUAGUC